This 612-nucleotide long non-coding RNA is filed under the name Mytilus galloprovincialis (Mediterranean mussel). The record is from RNAcentral. Lineage: Eukaryota; Metazoa; Mollusca; Bivalvia; Mytilida; Mytilidae.
CGAACUGUUUUAUUAUGGUGUAAGGUUUGUGUAAUUUCUGACACAAUGCAGGAGAAGGAUGUUAGGUUGACUUGGUCUGUAAUAGUGGACGAAAUAAAACGUCAAGAUUUGUUAACUCCUGAUGCAAGAUCGUGAUUUUUGAGCAAAAUACUGAUGGUUAUGGAUGUACAGAAAUUGCAAUGCUUACGUACAUCAAUUGACCAAUUCCGAUUACGACCAGUUCAAUAUUUCACUCGUUUCACCUUAUUCUUAAUUUUUAUAUAAGAAAAUUGUACAUUUUAGCACCCCAUUUUUCAGUCUUUUUUCUUUAUUUUUUUUUUUGCACAUUUUUUCUUCUUUCUUUUGCGGGGGGGGGGGGGGUAUUUUCUUUUCUGUUAAUCGCCUCUUUUAUUUGGCUAAUUUCUAAGAAAGAUCAGAUAUUCAAGCGUCAAGCGGGAUAUGUUAAAAGUGAAGAAGUAUCUACAAUGAGAAGCUGUUUAAUUGGUCGCUUUUUUGUAGUAUCUUUUAAAAUUUGGUAAGAUUAAUAUGGUACAACCAACUAACAAAGAUGGGGUUAUCAACUUACAUUUUUAAUUUUCAUAUGCUUUUACAGAAUUAUGAGACAUAUUUCAG